UACGUAGGGUGCAAGCGUUGUCCGGAAUUAUUGGGCGUAAAGAGCUCGUAGGCGGUUUGUCGCGUCGAAUGUGAAAACCCGGGGCUCAACCCUGGGAUGCCGGUCGAUACUGCCGGACUAGAGUUCGGAAGAGGCGAGUGGAAUUCCCGGUGUAGCGGUGAAAUGCGUAGAGAUCCGGAGGAACACCGACGGCGCAGGCAGCGUCCUGGCCGCUUGCUGACACUGAGGCACGAAAGCUGGGGGAGCAAACAGG
RNAcentral lists this ribosomal RNA (253 nucleotides) under uncultured bacterium. RNAcentral's name for it is "partial 16S ribosomal RNA". It matches the Rfam family "Bacterial small subunit ribosomal RNA", at positions 524 to 776 of the family's 1533-position model. The record is from RNAcentral.